Pongo pygmaeus (Bornean orangutan) is the source of this 1139-nucleotide long non-coding RNA. RefSeq lists it as uncharacterized. The transcript is spliced from 3 exons. The record is from RefSeq and is a predicted model, not a curated record. Lineage: Eukaryota; Metazoa; Chordata; Mammalia; Primates; Hominidae.
GUUACAGGGCUUUCACUCCUGAGUCGAAAAAGGUCACCAACUCCUGCUAAAUCUUAAACAUUAACAGCAACUGAAGUCUCAUCUUCAGACCUAAGAGAAGAUGAAAAUCAGAAGAAGCUGCAUUCAUGAGACCUGGGUCCAGAAAACUAAACUAUUUAACUCCCUAGUCCCAGGGACUAUUGCAGAAGAAGCACUAGCUCUGUCACCUGGAUUGGAAUGCAGUGGCAUGAUCCUGGCUCACUGCAACCUCCAUCUCCCAGACCCAAGUGAUCCUGCCACCUCAGCCUCCUGAGCAGCUGGGACUACAGAAUAAGGUUCACAGCCACCUCCCUGCAAUCUGAUUUGGACCGCCCAUGAGACCAGAAGAUUACAAAAACGCAAAAAUGUUGACUGACUUAUGAGUCCUAGAUACCCUGUACCCGCUGGUGAAAGGAAGCGAUGGAGUUGCCGUCUCCCCUCCGAGUUUGGCAGGCCGGGGAUUUCGCAAAGGAGGCGGCGGGACCAGAUGCCUCCAGCCCGGAGCUCAGUACAUUCGGUGUCCUAGAUGCUCCCUUCCUGUCCUUACCACUGCGAGCUCUCCUGGGACGGCCUAGAUUUCCACUGCCACCUACUUUCCGCUCCCUGCGUGCUUCCUCGCUGAAACUGCCGGCGAAAAGAUCUCUUUCCCAAGCCUCAGAGUACCUUGAGGCGGGGCGCAGGGUCGCCCGCUCUGGAUCCGGAGCAGGCAAUUCAGGAGGAGCCGCAGGAGCCCUCGGGAGAGCAGGAGGCUGCAGAGGGUCUCAACGUACGCCCGCCCCCGCAGCCUCCCUAGCAACUCGCCUCUCGCUUAGUGGACAGACGACUGGAGCCGGAGACUUCCAUCCGAGAAGACCUUUGAGAGUGUCAGCCUACUGCUGUCCCCUGGUGCCACCAACCAAAGUUCCAAGACUGCUGGCUGCAGAUGGCAUGCGCUUGGGGACAGACGCCCUGAGACUGUCCACGGCCCGCCUUUGGAAUCCUGGGCCCUGAAACUUCCUCUGAGACCUUCCAUUGGAUGAUCCUCUUGUAAAUAAAUAAAUAAAUAAAUAAAGUUAACAAUAAUACCCGAGUUCUCUCAAAUGCGAUGGAAGAAGUUUGGCCUUCAGAUCACUUUAUGCCUU